AUAUUAAUAAGGGGGAAGAAAAAGAAACUAACAAGGAUUCCCUUAGUAACGGCGAGUGAAGCGGGAAGAGCUCAAAGUGAAAAUCGUGAACCCAAGCGGGUUCUUGAAUUGUUUCCUAGAGACGUGUUGUCAGCGGUGACCUAGAUUGAAGUCUCUUGAAACAGGGCAUCGGAGAGGGUGAGAAUCCCGUCUGCAAUCUGGAGUUCGCCGUGUACGACGCAUGUUCGAAGAGUCGAGCUGUUUGGGAUUGCAGCUCUAAUUGGGUGGUAAGUUUCAUCUAAAGCUAAAUAUUGGCGAGAGACCGAUAGCGCACAAGUA
This 318-nucleotide ribosomal RNA is filed under the name uncultured eukaryote. RNAcentral describes it as "partial large subunit ribosomal RNA". It matches the Rfam family "Eukaryotic large subunit ribosomal RNA", at positions 40 to 350 of the family's 3401-position model. The record is from RNAcentral.